This 69-nucleotide transfer RNA is filed under the name Bos taurus (domestic cattle). It matches the Rfam family "tRNA". Rfam says of the family: Transfer RNA (tRNA) molecules are approximately 80 nucleotides in length. Lineage: Eukaryota; Metazoa; Chordata; Mammalia; Artiodactyla; Bovidae. The record is from Rfam by way of RNAcentral. RNAcentral also lists the same sequence under 2 other names.
CCUGGUGGCUCAGAGGUUAAAGCGUCUGCCUGGAAUACAGGAGACCCAGGUUCGAUCCCUGGGUCAGGA